AUGAACGCUGGCGGCGUGCCUAAUACCUGCAAGUCGAGCGAACGGACGAGAAGCUUGCUUCUCUGAUGUUAGCGGCGGACGGGUGAGUAACACGUGGAUAACCUACCUAUAAGACUGGGAUAACUUCGGGAAACCGGAGCUAAUACCGGAUAAUAUUUUGAACCGCAUGGUUCAAAAGUGAAAGACGGUCUUGCUGUCACUUAUAGAUGGAUCCGCGCUGCAUUAGCUAGUUGGUAAGGUAACGGCUUACCAAGGCAACGAUGCAUAGCCGACCUGAGAGGGUGAUCGGCGACACUGGAACUGAGACACGGUCCAGACUCCUACGGGAGGCAGCAGUAGGGAAUCUUCCGCAAUGGGCGAAAGCCUGACGGAGCAACGCCGCGUGAGUGAUGAAGGUCUUCGGAUCGUAAAACUCUGUUAUUAGGGAAGAACAUAUGUGUAAGUAACUGUGCACAUCUUGACGGUACCUAAUCAGAAAGCCACGGCUAACUACGUG
This 496-nucleotide ribosomal RNA is filed under the name uncultured bacterium. RNAcentral's name for it is "partial 16S ribosomal RNA". It matches the Rfam family "Bacterial small subunit ribosomal RNA", at positions 29 to 507 of the family's 1533-position model. The record is from RNAcentral.